Molecule: unclassified non-coding RNA, 380 nt
Filed under: uncultured Actinomycetes bacterium
Lineage: Bacteria; Bacillati; Actinomycetota; Actinomycetes
Description: uncultured actinobacterium contains 16S-23S intergenic spacer region
Source: RNAcentral
UCCGAGUUGACCCCGGCAGUCUCCUACGAGUCCCCGGCAUUACCCGCUGGCAACAUAGGACAAGGGUUGCGCUCGUUGCGGGACUUAACCCAACACCUCACGGCACGAGCUGACGACAACCAUGCAGCACCUGUGUAGGCUCCCUUGCGGGUCCCUCGCCUUUCAGCUCAGUACCACCUACAUGUCAAGCCCUGGUAAGGUUCUUCGCUUAGCAUCGAAUUAAACCACACGCUCCGCUGCUUGUGCGGGCCCCCGUCAAUUCCUUUGAGUUUUAGCCUUGCGGCCGUACUCCCCAGGCGGGGCGCUUAAUGCGUUAGCUACGGCACGGACAACGUGGAUGUCGCCCACACCUAGCGCCCAACGUUUACAGCGUGGACUAC